AGGAAACUAACAACAUACGCGUAAAAUGAUUUACUUUAAACCAUUUACAUUCAUGAUUCUUUACAUUGCUUUUCAUCAUUUCUUUUUACAUCACAUUUGCUCAUAAUAACACAUUACAUUCUUUUCUUUCUUUGCUUUAUACAUCAGCAUCUUCAAAUACAAAAGAAAAUAGAAGGGUAAGCUACUAACAAAAUAUAAAACCUGACUCGGGUUGCCUCUGUCUACGAUGCGAUACCUUUACCGCGGUCACUCGCUAGCUCACUCGGUCCCGGCUCUGU
RNAcentral lists this long non-coding RNA (278 nucleotides) under Ananas comosus (pineapple). RNAcentral describes it as "long non-coding RNA (ACOM_LNC042106)". Lineage: Eukaryota; Viridiplantae; Streptophyta; Magnoliopsida; Poales; Bromeliaceae. The record is from RNAcentral.